AACAGACUUAUUUCCAGGCCCACCAUUAUCUAAUCCGCAGACAGUUCCUCGCGUGCCUCGAAUCAAUCGACCACGCCAAGACCUCCUCGCUGGCCCUGCGGCUCCCUCUGUCCAUAGCCGCAGCUCCCUUUGCCGGCGUCUGCCACAGUCCCCUCCGUCAUAUUCAUUCAAGGGCUGAUACUUGGUUGAGAGUUUUUGCUUCCUUCCUUCUGCUACAAAAAUUCGAAACAAAAAAAUAAAAAUAAAAAUAAAAAUACAAAGGCGGAUGGAAGAGACGAGCAGGAGCUUUGUCUGAGCCCUAGCUUGACUUGUGACCCCAUUCUCCACCAUCCUUGCCGUCGAACCAGCCUCUCAGCCUUCUUUACUGGACAUCUCCGUCUCCCAGGCUUUUUCUGUGUCAGUGUGUCAGGUCGAAGCCUCUUCUUUGCUCCAGAUCAGGAUAUUACAGAAGAUGGACAUAACUGAAUCCAUCCUCGACAUUCCAGUACAAGAUCCGCCAGAGGAGGAGUUCUCUUCCGCUGAUUUAAAUUGGACCAAGUUUGGGACGGCUGAGCACUUUGAGGAUGUGGCGCUCAUUCCUUAUGCACGAGUUGAUGCAUUUAUAAUUGGGGAAUGUUCUAAUGUUGAAUGUCCAACGCGGUUUCAUAUUGAGAGGACAAGGAAUCGAUCAACGGGCAGCUUACAGUAUUACAAGAGUGACGAAUACUUGCAGUAUAGGCUGUAUUGGUGUUCAUUUGGUCCUGAGAAUUAUGGGGAAGGUGGUGAUAUAUUACCAAGCAGAAGGUAUCGACUUAAGACUCGAAAUCGUGCUGCUAGACCACAAUCUAUGCGAGGCUGUACUUGUCAUUUUAUUGUGAAGCGCCUCUAUGCUCGUCCAUCGCUUGCACUUAUUAUAUAUAAUGAGAAUGAUAGGCGCCACAUAAACAAGGCAGGUUUUGUGUGCCAUGGACCACUUGAUAGAGAUGCCAUUGGCCCUGGUGCCAAGAAAAUUCCUUAUAUCUGUAAUGAGAUUCAGCAGCAAACUAUGUCUAUGAUCUACCUUGGCAUUCCUGAGGAGAAUGUUUUAGAGAAACACAUUGAGGGAAUCCAAAGAUACUGCAGUUCAAAUGCAAAAGUAAAUAGUCUUGCAUCUCAGUAUGUCCACAAACUUGGAAUGAUUAUUAAACGGUCUACUCAUGAGUUGGAUUUAGAUGACCAAGCUAGCAUCCGAAUGUGGGUUGAACGCACUAAGAAAUCCAUAUUCUUCUAUCAGGAUUCUUCAGAAACAGAGCCUUUUAUUUUGGGGAUUCAAACGGAGUGGCAGUUACAACAGAUGAUUCGUUUUGGUCAUCGCAGUCUCAUAGCCGCUGAUUCAACAUUUGGCAUAAAGAGACUUAAGUAUCCGUUGUGUACGCUUCUUGUGUUUGACUCAAGACAACACGCUCUUCCAAUUGCAUGGGUCAUUACUCGUAGCUUUGCUAAGCCAGAUGUGUCUAAGUGGAUGAAAGCUCUAGUGGAUAGAGCUCGAACUGUUGAACCUGGAUGGAAGGUCAAUGGGUUCCUGAUCGAUGAUGCAGCAGCAGAAAUUGACCCCAUAAGGGAUAUAUUUCGUUGUCCUGUCCUAUUUUCCCUUUGGCGUGUCCGUCGAUCGUGGCUGAGAAAUAUAAUUAAGAAAUGCUGCAACGUUGAAGUCCAAAGGGAGAUUUUCAAACGUCUUGGAAAAAUAGUAUAUGGAAUUUGGGGUGGGGUGGAUUCUUCAGUCGCUUUGGAAGAAUUUGCCCAGGAUUUUGUUGACCAGACUGCCUUCAUGCAUUAUUUUAAGGCUUGUUGGAUGCCAAAGAUUGAAAUGUGGCUUGGAACAAUGCGCACUCUUCCACUUGCAAGCCAGGAGGCAUCUGGUGCUAUAGAAACCUAUCACGUUAAGCUAAAACUUAAACUUUAUGAUGAUUCUCAUCUUGGUGCACUUCAGAGAGUUGAUUGGUUAGUGCACAAGCUGACUACCGAGUUGCAUUCUAGGUAUUGGUUAGACCGCUAUGCAGACGAGAGUGAUUCCUUCCAAAAUGUCAAGGAAGAAUAUGUUGCUUCUACUUCAUGGCACCGAGCAUUGCAAAUUCCUGAUAGUUCCGUUACUUUGGACAAUAAGGACCACCUCUUUGCGAAGGUUUUAAGCCAAAAGGACAGCAGCCGAAGACAUAUUGUGUGGAAUCCUGGAUCAGAAUUUGCUUUUUGUGAUUGUGAAUGGUCAAUGCAGGGAAACCUUUGCAAACAUGUCAUGAAGGUUAAUAUGAUGUGUGAAAAUUGUCAUGUAUGUCAGCCCUCUAUGUCAUUUCAGUCAUUCAGAGAUAUCUUGAUGAAUCUUUGGAGAAAGCCAAUGGAUGAUUCAAUUGCAUUGGAUCAGUCUGUUGCCUGGACCCAUCAGAUGCUUGAUCAGAUUCAGAAACUAGUUGAACUGAGCAGUUCAAAUGAUAUCGGAAGUGUAGUUAAGAAUCUGCCUCUAAAAUGGGGUUCCAAGAAAGGCAGAACUUUUGUUGGCAAGCCCUCAUCCACUGUGGCACUCCCAUCCAGUUCCAAGAGUAACAAUAAAAGCAAUGCCGUGCAAAGAAAAAAUCGGAAAAGGAAGAGAUUAUCACGGUUAAGAUGAUUUCAAGUUGGUGAAUGUGGGAUUGCUUUUUCAACCAUUCUGACCUAUGCAGUUAAAUUUCUGCUCACUUGUCAUUCCUUGGCUUUAUUCUUUAAACAUUGAUUAUCUGGUUCCAUUAGGGGGUAGAGAUUGAAUUCUUGCACAAACUUGAACCAUGUUUUCUCAUCCAAGGGUGAUUGUAUGUCACAGCAGCCAAAGAUGUAUUUUGAUGGGUAUUGUGUGCUUAGCUUGGUGCUAUUGGAGCUGCAAGAUGCCAUGAAAGGAAAUGAAGAUCUAAUAAGAAGUCUGCCAUUGUUGCCCUUUUGUCCUCGGGAUAAUUUUGAGGAAAAUGCAUGCCAAAGAAGAUAUGGUGAAGUUGCUUUGGAAACCUUAAACACAGUGAAGUCUUCAAGAUCAGGAGACACUGUGCCUGCUUGAACAGUGGGUAUUCUUGCCAGCAGUCUCUCUCUCUCCCAAACAGGUUUCACAGAUGGCUCACUUUUCCCGCUUGCAAGCUCAGCCAUGGCUCUGAAGAACUGGGCUGCGCCAAAACCAUCAACAACUGAGUGAUAUACACCCAUUCCAAUUGUGAAGCCCCCACAUGAAAAUUUAGUCACCUGCAGCAGUAGAGGGUGAUUUCCAUCAUCAUCACCCUCAGGAUGAGCAGGCAUAUUGAAGACGAACUUGUUGGCAAUUUCAACAUGGAUCCCAUCUAGAUACUGAAGCGAAGAGAGCUCACAGUUUGCUGUUGCGACCAGGAAAGGCACACCAUCAGCGGUGCAUGUGAGUUGAAGUCUUCCGUUGCUCUUUUGUCUCUUUAGCUUCCCAGCUAGGGGAUAGUAGUAGACUAAAACCCUAGAGAGUGCCUCUUUGAUCACACAAGCUGGAUCAGCUGCUUGCCAGUUAGCACUAUGGUUUGAAGUUGGAUGAUCAUGAUCAGUACCAUUGACACUUCCAUUUGAAGAUAUAUUGUUAUUUGCAGCUUUGUACACAUAAAUGGUUUGACAAAGGAUCUCAAGAUUGUGAUCAUUGUCAAUCGUGGAUAAAGAAAGAACAUCUGAAGGAGUUGGUUUUGAGGGUUUAACUAUUACAACAUCCUCUUUAUCAAUUGAGAAGGGUUCUAUCUGGAGACUGUUUGCCAUGGAAGAGGGUGAUGGUAAAUUGGAGUACAAGGUGAGAGCAAAUACUGCUUAAAAAUUAAUGCUAGAUUCAGUAGCCUUAUAGUACUACACAUGUCAUCUGUACCGUGGUUCUUAUCCUUUGGCUGUAAUGAUUGCUUCUGGGGUCCCGACGCACCAUAAGAUGAUCUCCGUUGGCAUGUUGGUGGGAUUUGAAUUUGGGAACACUAAUAUCACCACCCACUUAGUUUGCUGAACAGAAACCAACUUGGAGGACCAUGGAAGAAAUAGACCAAUGGGCUCUAACCAGAGCAAAUACUGCAUUCAUGAAAUCCUUAUGGUACCAGCACACUUCCCAGCGCAAAUUAACCAACGCUGCUUUCCAAAGUCUCGGCGUUUAGUCCCAUUGGCAAUCUCAUUUUCAACAAGUUGAAGCAAUGAAGGCCACAUGCUGAUGGGGGAAGGAAGUCUGGUCUGAAUUGUGGUGGAAGUCCAAGCUUUCUGAAGUUUUUUCUCUUGUGCUCAAUGGCUGAGUAAGUUAAAGGCAGACCAGAACUAGUGGGAAAGAAUGGAUAAGCUAAGAAAAAUUUCACGCAUCCACUAAAGUGAAAUCAGGAUAAAAAUAAUCAACUCAGUCAUGCUGAUAAAGACUUCCAGAGCCUGUGUGCGCUCUUCUCUCUCUCUCUCUCUCUCUCUCUCUCUCUCUCUCUCUCCAUAUAUAUAUAUAUAAAUAAUUCAAAGAUAGAGAAGAGAAAUUAGGGCAUGACUUUGCUAACGAAUGAUGUGUUGAUUAUCCAUCCGGUACGAAAGCAUCCAGUAAACAUGUGUUUUUUUUUGCAUAUAAAAUAAAUUUGUUAACGAACCUUGUGUAGGUUCAUAAUUGGUAGGAUUCA
Malania oleifera is the source of this 4610-nucleotide RNA transcript. RefSeq lists it as uncharacterized. The record is from RefSeq and is a predicted model, not a curated record. NCBI's taxonomy places the organism in Eukaryota, Viridiplantae, Streptophyta, Magnoliopsida, Santalales, Ximeniaceae. The transcript is spliced from 8 exons.